UACGGAGGGAGCUAGCGUUGUUCGGAAUUACUGGGCGUAAAGCGCACGUAGGCGGCUUUGUAAGUUAGAGGUGAAAGCCCGGGGCUCAACCCUGGGAGGCGGGUGGAUACUGCUGAGCUUGAGUCCGGAAGAGGCGAGUGGAAUUCCUGGUGUAGCGGUGAAAUGCGCAGAUAUCAGGAGGAACACCAAUGGCGAAGGCAGCUCGCUGGGACGGUACUGACGCUGAGACGCGAAAGCGUGGGGAGCAAACAGG
Molecule: ribosomal RNA, 253 nt
Filed under: uncultured bacterium
Lineage: Bacteria
Description: partial 16S ribosomal RNA
Rfam family: Bacterial small subunit ribosomal RNA
Source: RNAcentral